Notolabrus celidotus (New Zealand spotty) is the source of this 318-nucleotide long non-coding RNA. RefSeq lists it as uncharacterized. The transcript has 3 exons. NCBI's taxonomy places the organism in Eukaryota, Metazoa, Chordata, Actinopteri, Labriformes, Labridae. The record is from RefSeq and is a predicted model, not a curated record.
AUAUUGGGGUAAUCAGGAGAGCUGGAAACAUAGGGGAGCAGAAAGUCAAUGGACCUGAAACAGAGACAUGGCUGCUUUAAAAGGCCCUGAAUUCAAUUCUUUACACCAACCAAUAUCUUCCUGCCAUAUAGACUGGCUCCAUUCUCAGCGGAUGGCUGUUCAACAUGAGUCUGGUACUGCUGGGGGUUUCUGCCUGUUAAAGGAAGUUUAUCCUUGCCAUUGUAACUUGCUCAAUGCUACAAAGUGCUCAUCUCGUGGAGGAUUAAGAUAAAAUGAGAUUGAAUCAUGUCUUUAUGUCAGGUCUUUUUGAGCUACAGA